This 359-nucleotide ribosomal RNA is filed under the name uncultured bacterium. RNAcentral's name for it is "bacterial SSU rRNA". It matches the Rfam family "Bacterial small subunit ribosomal RNA", at positions 29 to 399 of the family's 1533-position model. The record is from RNAcentral.
AACGAACGUUGGCGGCGUGGAUUAGGCAUGCAAGUCGAGCGAGGCCACGAUAGCAAUAUGGUGAGUCGAGCGGCGUAAGGGGCAGUAAUACCUGGGAACGUACCCUCCUGUCGGGAAUAGCCACGAGAAAUUGUGGGUAAUGCCCGAUGAUACCGGAAGGUCAAAGGCUUGCCGCAGGGGGAGCGGCCCAGGCGAUAUUAGCUGGUUGGGUGGGGUAACGGCCUACCAAGGCGAAGAUGCUAGCGGGUGUGAGAGCACGACCCGCCGCCACUGGCACUGAGACACUGGCCAGACACCUACGGGUGGGCUGCAGUCGGAGGAUCUUCGGCAAUGAGCGCAAGCUUGACCGAGCGACGCCG